RNAcentral lists this ribosomal RNA (513 nucleotides) under Sporosarcina sp. CL1.70. RNAcentral's name for it is "bacterial SSU rRNA". It matches the Rfam family "Bacterial small subunit ribosomal RNA", at positions 13 to 503 of the family's 1533-position model. The record is from RNAcentral. Lineage: Bacteria; Bacillati; Bacillota; Bacilli; Caryophanales; Caryophanaceae.
UUGAUCCCUGGCUCAGGACGAACGCUGGCGGCGUGCCUAAUACAUGCAAGUCGAGCGGAAUGAUGAAGAAGCUUGCUUCUUCUGAUUUUAGCGGCGGACGGGUGAGUAACACGUGGGCAACCUACCUUGUAGAUUGGGAUAACUCCGGGAAACCGGGGCUAAUACCGAAUAAUCCAUUUUGCUUCAUGGCAAGAUGUUGAAAGGCGGCUUCGGCUGUCACUACGAGAUGGGCCCGCGGCGUAUUAGCUAGUUGGUAGGGUAAUGGCCUACCAAGGCGACGAUACGUAGCCGACCUGAGAGGGUGAUCGGCCACACUGGGACUGAGACACGGCCCAGACUCCUACGGGAGGCAGCAGUAGGGAAUCUUCCACAAUGGACGAAAGUCUGAUGGAGCAACGCCGCGUGAGUGAAGAAGGUUUUCGGAUCGUAAAACUCUGUUGUAAGGGAAGAACACGUACGAGAGUAACUGCUCGUACCUUGACCGGUACCUUAUUAGAAAGCCACGGCUAACUA